RNAcentral lists this unclassified non-coding RNA (214 nucleotides) under Hevea brasiliensis (rubber tree). The record is from RNAcentral. Lineage: Eukaryota; Viridiplantae; Streptophyta; Magnoliopsida; Malpighiales; Euphorbiaceae.
AUGGAUAUGCUAAUGUCAACAUCUGCACAGCAAGGCGGGCUCUCAUGUGGGGUGGACUCAGGAGAGUAUGUGUUCAUGAACCCUAGAGUAUACCUAAACCGUGCAAAUGCGUUGGAUGAGAUGAGGGAUAGUCCAGGCAAUUCAGAAUCAGCUGAUGAGGCAGAGGAUGAUUCAGAUGGACUUCCACCAAAGAAGAGAAAGUCUGGAAGGGACC